CAAUAGCGUAUAUUAAAGUUGUUGCAGUUAAAAAGCUCGUAGUUGGACUUCAAGAAGCGCAUCUGGGCAACCAGUUUGCCUUCUACCAGCCCUAGGCUGUUACUGUGAGAAAAUUAGAGUGUUUCAAGCAGGCUUUUGCAGGAAUACAUUAGCAUGGAAUAACGAAUGUGUCUACAAUUUGGUUGAUUGUAGGUUACAAUUAAUAGGGACAGUUGGGGGCAUUAGUAUUUAAUAGUCAGAGGUGAAAUUCUUGGAUUUGUUAAAGACUAACGUAUGCGAAAGCAUUUGCCAAGGAUGUUUUCAUUA
Molecule: ribosomal RNA, 306 nt
Filed under: uncultured eukaryote
Lineage: Eukaryota
Description: partial 18S ribosomal RNA
Rfam family: Eukaryotic small subunit ribosomal RNA
Source: RNAcentral